UACGUAGGGUGCAAGCGUUGUCCGGAAUUAUUGGGCGUAAAGAGCUCGUAGGCGGUCUGUCGCGUCUGCUGUGAAAACUCGGGGCUUAACCCCGGGCCUGCAGUGGGUACGGGCAUACUAGAGUGCGGUAGGGGAGACUGGAAUUCCUGGUGUAGCGGUGAAAUGCGCAGAUAUCAGGAGGAACACCGGUGGCGAAGGCGGGUCUCUGGACCGAUACUGACGCUGAGGCGCGAAAGCGUGGGGAGCAAACAGG
RNAcentral lists this ribosomal RNA (253 nucleotides) under uncultured bacterium. Its description in RNAcentral is "partial 16S ribosomal RNA". It matches the Rfam family "Bacterial small subunit ribosomal RNA", at positions 524 to 776 of the family's 1533-position model. The record is from RNAcentral.